UGUUGGGCCAGCAGCCUCCUGUUCCAAGGGACAGUCCUGUAAACCACGUCUCCUUCUGCCUUCAUUAAAAACACCAGGCCGGUCACACUGCACUGGUACAGGCCUGGACAGGAGCACUGGAACGUGUAGUUUUCAUCAUCAAAAUCAUCAGUGAUAACUGGUGUAAACUCAUUUAACAGCAUAUCAGGUGAGCUGUUUACUUGUGUAAAGUUGUUCUUUGCACGGGGUAUUUUGCUCAGUGAGACCAUGCUGUGAGAACAAGGCAAGAGGCAGGAUCUGCUGCACAGCCCACUAGAUCCAGAUGUUCCUCGAAGUUUAUAAUCGUAUGGCAUGGUUUCAGACUUCAUAAUACUGUGUGUCACGAUUACUUCACUCUCACGACUUGCAGUGCUGCUAUCUGCUGCUGAUUCGUCAACAAAAGAAGUCACAGAGAGGGAGCAGGAAGGAGGAUAUUUAGAGUGGCUUGAUUUUGGAUUUUGGAGCUGAUUAAAUUUCAGCCCAUCACCUGGAGUGUUAGAAAGGAAGCUUCCUGUUGUUUCUGUCUGUGUUUGCUUGUGUUUAACACAAGGAAUUAACCAAGAACCCAACCUAUUGUUUCGUAUGAUUAUUCUUUUCCUAGAUUGUAGGUCACGAUGAUCAAACUUUUCUUGUUCCAUUGCUUCAGUGCUUGCUGUUGAAAUCCCAGUGGAGGGGAUCAAUGGAUACUUCCAAGCAAAGUUAUUCAUUUCUGAUUCUUUUUGUUCUUUUUUUUUUAGAUUGUAAUCUUGAUUAAACAUUGGUUCUGAAAGUAAGCGUUCGGUCUUUUCUUUUUCACUUUGCUUGUUUUUACCAUAAAGGAUAAAAUCGGAGUCUUCCAACAGACCUGUUUUGUUUGUCUUAUUUCUUCUCUUUUCCUUCAUUACAUACUCUUGUGGACCAUCUUUCUUUGACCAAGUAGUUAGAACAUCAAGAGCUGAACUAUUCCGUCUUUGAUUGUACAUGUUAUACUGCUCGCUGUCAUGCAUCAAGGCAUUGAAAGUCUCACCAAUUCCCAAACCUCUAGGAGGAUAGCUAAAACUUCUAGAAAGCACUCGAGGUGUACUCCGGCUCUCUGAAGGAUGUAUACUAACAUCUGUCUCUUCUUUUUCUUUAGUGCUUUCACUCCCACUCCUGCUUUUGCUCCUUGAUUUUGUGUUUAAUGGUAUAUCCAUUUUUUCAGUAACACUGCGUUUUAUCUC
Astatotilapia calliptera (eastern happy) is the source of this 1217-nucleotide long non-coding RNA. Lineage: Eukaryota; Metazoa; Chordata; Actinopteri; Cichliformes; Cichlidae. The record is from Ensembl.